GUCUAUGGCCAUGCCACCCUGAACAAGCCCGAUCCCGUCUGAUCUUGGAAGCUAAGCAGGGUCGGGCCUGGUUAGUACUUGGAUGGGAGACCACCUAGGAAGACCAGGUGCUGCAGGCA
This 119-nucleotide ribosomal RNA is filed under the name Pteropus alecto (black flying fox). The record is from RNAcentral. Lineage: Eukaryota; Metazoa; Chordata; Mammalia; Chiroptera; Pteropodidae. RNAcentral also lists the same sequence under 1 other name.